This is a long non-coding RNA of Homo sapiens (human), 2558 nucleotides long. The record is from Ensembl. Lineage: Eukaryota; Metazoa; Chordata; Mammalia; Primates; Hominidae.
AGAGUCUUCCUUUUGCCUCAAGAGUCUGUCUGGUGGCUGGCUCGCAGCUAGCUUCUGCACAAUCCCCUCACUCUGACCCUGCAUCUUCAAUGCCGCCAUUCUGCCAAACCGCUGCUACUUCUGGGUGAAAACCUAGUUCUAGCUCCCUCCAGAGUUAGCUGGUUUGGCUAUUUGAAAGCUACUCCUUCAAUGAACCGUUCUUUGUCAUUUCAGAAAUGAACCCUGCUUUCCAGCAUUUGGGCUGGACAGGGUUCUCCAGGCUUGCUAACUACAGCAGCUGUUUUCUGUCCCCAGUAAGAGCCAGGGUGACAUACCUACCUGCCCAGAGCCACCCUUGACAGGAGACUCAGGGAGAAGUGCCCCCAGGACCAAAGCACCUGCCCAGCCCACUGGAAGAAGGAAGCUUACAAUUCUGUAUGCUUGGAACCCACCAAAGCCUGAGGCCUCACUGGCACCCAGCCAUCCACAGGAGUUAGCAGCUGUUUGAGUCCAGAAGGAAGAACUUUUGGAGUCGGAGACAAAUAAUGUUCACCACUCCACUUCCUUGUUCCUUCACACCUGCUACUUUGGAUUCAGACGAGAAGUUCCAAGAAUCCCUGAGUCCACAGCAUGACUCUGGUUUGCAGAACCUCUGUCCAGACCAGCCAGAUCAGAAUACAAAGGAAAGUGACACAUCCUGGAUCUCAACCCACUUCGAUGGGAAGUCUUCCUGAUAAAUUUAGAGAUAACCUAAAGCCCUUGGGGACUUCCUCUUGAUUUGAAUCUGCUGAACACCUGCCGCACCCCCACCGCACCCCCCCCCCCCGCCCCCCGCCACCGCAGAUGAAAACAUCAACUCUGCAGAAUUAAUGGAUAUGGGAAUCACCUGGGGACCUCUCAUUAAAUUGCAAAUUAUGAUUCAGAGGGUCUGGGGAGGGACAGAGACUCUGCAUUUCUAACAAGCUCUCCGGUGGUGCCCACGCAUCACCGGGGCCGGAGAACCUUCCAUCAUUCCAGCAAUGCUCACCAUCACUGCCAUUCUUGCUCUUCUUUCUGGGGCCGUUGCCCAUUUUCUCCAUGGUAUCCUUCUUUUUUCCUAUUCUUUUCCUCUUUUAAUCCUUUUUUUCUUCCCAGCCAACUCACUAUUCCUAUAUCCCUGCUAACCCUCAAUGCUCCUUCACUCAAAGAUGAAGAAACUCCUGCCCUUUCUUCCUCCAGACAUUCAUCUCCCUCCCUCCCUCCUCUCCUCAGCUUUGUAGUGCCAGGAAAAGAAAGAUCACCAUUUACUGACAAUUUUGUGUGAAGCACUGUCCCAAGUGCAUUACCCAUAUUACUUAACUCUCACAACAACCCUGCAAAGUACACAUUAUUUCUGCCAUUUUAGACAUGAGAAAAUUGGGACUUGGGGUGGUUAAAGAAAUCUUGUCCUCAACCAGGAAGUAGUGAUCUGAGAUUAGAAUUUAGAUCUGUCUGAGGCCAAAGUCUACAACUUCUAUACUGCACCAUGCUCAUAUAAGGUGAACAAUCUAGAAGGCAGCUGGUAGGAGUGGCUUCAGUAAAAAGGAAUGGAAUACCACGAGCUUCACCCCAUUUAUGCAUCCUGAACCCUUCACUCCACUUUUGUUAAGUACAUGCCCUAUGAGACGGUUUGACAUACCAAUAAUGAGAGCUGUUUCAAGAAUGCCCAGAUUAGCUAGGAUGGUUGGGACCUAAAUAGCACAGUAGUAAUAUUAAAGCCCAAAGUUGCCAAUAUGCUCAAUUUUCAAUGUAACCUUUUAUUAUAAAUUAAGACCCAUAACUGUACACACAGAGUCUGUUACCAAAAAAGAAAUUCCUUCCAUUGGCCAAUUAUUCAACCACAUGAAGUCUACUAAAGGAUGAUGCCAAGCCACCCAUCAGUCCACACAGGAUCCAUCAUGGAUGGAUAGCCAGUUCCUUUUUCUCUCUCUAGUUUCUCUUCCUUGAUUCCACCUCUAGGAUCCCCUCGCUCUCUUAUUGUCCUUUGCCUUGUCCUCAAGAUCCUACCAAGAGUCCUGGCUUCCCACCUGGGAGCAUGUACCAGUUCUCCAAACCUUUGUGUGUUUCUGAUUCCUCAGACUACCGCAUCUACAAACUAGGAAACUGUACUCUUGCUUAUACUGGCCCUCUCCCUCCCUUGACUUUUAUUAGAUACAUCAAAACAAAACAAAAAACUCCUUUUAAAUUCUGUUAAAGAUCCUGCAAGGUAUGAAGGGAGGAGAAAAGGCAGGGGCUGGGUAUGAGGAAAAGUCCAUCUUGACAUACAAAAAUGUUAAAAGUCUAUAUACUCAAAGGAGAAGUGAAGAGUCAGACUUUUACAUGUGGAACAGACAGGAAAACUGGGAGCAAUAUGGUGUAGUCAUCAGAUGUGGGUUCUAAAUUCAUCUCAGCUACCAACCAGCAGUGCAACCUUGGAUAAGCUGUGUAUUUUUCUCAAUACCAGUUUCUUCAUCUUUAAAGUGUGGAGAUUGGAUUGAACAAUUACUAAGAUUCCUUUGUUCUCUACUCUGCAGUGUCAUCUCUAGCACCUAAAAUAAAAUAAACCAGAAAUUAAUGAAAGA